RNAcentral lists this ribosomal RNA (254 nucleotides) under uncultured prokaryote. RNAcentral's name for it is "partial 16S ribosomal RNA". It matches the Rfam family "Bacterial small subunit ribosomal RNA", at positions 524 to 777 of the family's 1533-position model. The record is from RNAcentral.
UACGGGGGGGGCAAGCGUUGUUCGGAAUUACUGGGCGUAAAGGGUUCGUAGGUGGCCCGCUAAGUCAGACGUGAAAUCCCUCAGCUCAACUGGGGAACUGCGUCUGAGACUGGCGGGCUUGAGUGCAGGAGAGGAACGCGGAAUUCCAGGUGUAGCGGUGAAAUGCGUAGAUAUCUGGAGGAACACCGGUGGCGAAGGCGGCGUUCUGGACUGUUACUGACACUGAGGAACGAAAGCCAGGGGAGCAAACGGGA